Molecule: ribosomal RNA, 325 nt
Filed under: uncultured eukaryote
Lineage: Eukaryota
Description: partial 18S ribosomal RNA
Rfam family: Eukaryotic small subunit ribosomal RNA
Source: RNAcentral
CCCUUAGAUGUCCUGGGCCGCACGCGCGCUACACUGAUGCAUUCAACGAGUAUUUCCUUGGCCGAGAGGCCUGGGCAAUCUUUUAAACCUGCAUCGUGAUAGGGAUAGAUUAUUGCAAUUAUUAAUCUUGAACGAGGAAUCCCUAGUAAACGCAAAUCAUCAAUUUGCAUUGAUUACGUCCCUGCCCUUUGUACACACCGCCCGUCGCACCUACCGAUUGAAUGGUCCGGUGAAAUCUCGGGAUUGUGGCCAGUUCACUUUAUUGGGAGUUGGCUGCGAGAACUUGCUUAAACCUUAUCAUUUAGAGGAAGGUGAAGUCGUAACA